This 403-nucleotide ribosomal RNA is filed under the name uncultured bacterium. RNAcentral describes it as "partial 16S ribosomal RNA". It matches the Rfam family "Bacterial small subunit ribosomal RNA", at positions 28 to 526 of the family's 1533-position model. The record is from RNAcentral.
GAUGAACGCUGGCGGCGUGCUUAACACAUGCAAGUCGAACGAGUGGGAACGGGUGAGUAAUACGUGGGUAACCUGCCCAUCAGAGGGGAUAACACUUGGAAACAGGUGCUAAACCGAUACUGAUGGAUGGACCCGCGGUGCAUUAGCUAGUUGGUGAGGUAACGGCUCACCAAGGCCACGAUGCAUAGCCGCCGUGAGAGGGGGACCGGCCACAUUGGGACUGGGAUACGGCCCAGACUCCUACGGGAGGGAGCAGUGGGGGAUAUUGCACAAUGGGCGAAAGCCUGAUGCAGCGACGCCGCGUGGGGGAUGAAGGCUUUCGGGUUGUAAACCUCUUUCGCUAUCGAACGGGUAGGUGGAGAAGAAGCGCCGGCUAACUACGUGCCAGCAGCCGCGGUAAUAC